Molecule: long non-coding RNA, 211 nt
Filed under: Lathyrus oleraceus (garden pea)
Lineage: Eukaryota; Viridiplantae; Streptophyta; Magnoliopsida; Fabales; Fabaceae
Description: Pisum sativum (pea) long non-coding RNA (PSAT_LNC008156)
Source: RNAcentral
GAUACAAUUCUACACCAAAAUUUCCCUGAAAAACCCCUCUAUUUUCUAUCCCAAAUCAAACUCCUGUUUUUUGAGUACACACCACACACAAAAAAUCAACCAAGAAAUCUCUCACAAACUCUCUCUCCCGCUCACAUGUACACAUCAACAACCAUAUUACAUCAUCUCUUUCACUAAAAUAAACAUUAAGCUUCAUCAGAUUUUUUUUCCA